UACGGAGGGUGCAAGCGUUAUCCGGAUUCACUGGGUUUAAAGGGUGCGUAAGCGGGUAAGUAAGUCCGUGGUGAAAUCUCUGAGCUUAACUCAGAAACUGCCGUGGAUACUAUUUGCCUUGAAUAUUGUGGAGGUGAGCGGAAUAUGUCAUGUAGCGGUGAAAUGCUUAGAUAUGACAUAGAACACCAAUUGCGAAGGCAGCUCACUACACAAUCAUUGACGCUGAGGCACGAAAGCGUGGGGAUCAAACAGG
This 253-nucleotide ribosomal RNA is filed under the name uncultured bacterium. Its description in RNAcentral is "partial 16S ribosomal RNA". It matches the Rfam family "Bacterial small subunit ribosomal RNA", at positions 524 to 776 of the family's 1533-position model. The record is from RNAcentral.